UGGGGAAUAUUGCACAAUGGGCGAAAGCCUGAUGCAGCAACGCCGCGUGAGUGAUGAAGGCCUUCGGGUUGUAAAGCUCUGUCUUCUGGGACGAUAAUGACGGUACCAGAGGAGGAAGCCACGGCUAACUACGUGCCAGCAGCCGCGGUAAUACGUAGGUGGCAAGCGUUGUCCGGAUUUACUGGGCGUAAAGGAUGCGUAGGCGGAUACUUAAGUCAGAUGUGAAAAUCCCGGGCUUAACUUGGGAACUGCAUUUGAAACUGGGUAUCUAGAGUGCGGGAGAGGAAAGUGGAAUUCCUAGUGUAGCGGUGAAAUGCGUGGAGAUUAGGAAGAACACCAGUGGCGAAGGCGACUUUCUGGACCGUAACUGACGCUGAGGCAUGAAAGCGUGGGGAGCAAACA
RNAcentral lists this ribosomal RNA (402 nucleotides) under uncultured bacterium. RNAcentral's name for it is "bacterial SSU rRNA". It matches the Rfam family "Bacterial small subunit ribosomal RNA", at positions 355 to 774 of the family's 1533-position model. The record is from RNAcentral.